This 333-nucleotide unclassified non-coding RNA is filed under the name Calothrix sp. PCC 6303. RNAcentral describes it as "16S-23S ribosomal RNA intergenic spacer". Lineage: Bacteria; Bacillati; Cyanobacteriota; Cyanophyceae; Nostocales; Calotrichaceae. The record is from RNAcentral.
UUUAGGGAGACCUACCCAACUUGAAGUGAAUGAGGUUCAAUGAAUCUUCGGAUGAAUAGAGCCAGAGAAUUCACAUGAAGAUGGUCAUUCCUAGGUCGUUCGAGGAAAAAAGUCAUAUAAUCUAAUCAAGCUAUUAACGGUAUCGGUAAAAAACUAACCGAGAUUGAAGUCAGCACCUAAGUUCAUCAGUGACAAAGAACUAAUGAAUCGGAAUGCUGAGUAAUGACUCAGUAAAGAACCAUGAAAACUGCAUAAUAGAAGCGAAAAAGGUAGGUAGUACGAGAAGCUUGAGAGCACUAAGGUGUGAUUGAGUGAAAUCGGAAACAGACAAAA